GUUAUUUCAUUAUUAGGGAAAAAAAUCACGUGAUCUAGAGGGCGCCUCCCUGUCAAGCGCAUUAAUAAUUUUCGCACAAACACUUGUAUAUGAAUAAUAAUUUACAUUUUCCAUAUGCAUUACAAAGUGAAUAUUUUUUUUUACAUGCAAUUAUCCAAAAUAAAACCAAACAAGAUUUGUAAUGAAGAUAAAAUGUAGACAAAUAAGAAUAAUUUAAAUGCGUCAAAUCUAAAAUAUGGUGUAGAGUAAAUAUAAGCACAGGCUCAUAGGCUUGACAUUUAUCCUGCUUGAAUUCGUUCUAAGAAACGCACACAUCUUCAUAAGGACUAAACUUUCAUCUGUGAAUAUUAAAUAUUUUAAUUAGCCUAAAGUGUUUUCCUUUCAUUUUCCCCGACUGCAGUCAAAUAUAACAAAACGGUGAGGCAAAGCUGACGUCUAUUCGCGAAAAUGUGCUUUGAUGCGCUUGUUUGAAAACUUGUGAUUAAAGCGCCAUUCAGCGGACAUGUAAACUUGCAAAACAUCACUAUAUUUACUUGUAAAACCAUGUCCUACAUAGGAGUUUGUUUGACCUGUUAGCCAUCUUCCAUGUUUUAGACCUCUGGCAGAGGUGUCUUUGGGGGACAUUGGUCAGCAGCACAAGAAACGUCACAGAAGUCCUCCAGCAAAAUAGAUGAGGAGGGCCUAGAACUUGCAGUUUGCCAGCAUGGUGUUCUUCUUUGUGCCCUUAAUAUGUUCAGGGGGAGGUUUUUGCUUACCCCUGUACCUCCAGAAAAAAAAUGGCUUGUAAGCCGGUGAAAUUUUUUGCUAUGGAUGUUGCGUGCAAGUACUGGCCUUACCUCCAGAGAGGGAACGAGAGAUGCCCUGAGCUUCAGGAUCUGCUCUCAAUGAAGCCAUUUCUAUCAGUGUUUCAUGCCAAAGCCCACGACUUCAAAUGUGAGGUAAAAUGGAGUGGGGCAUACCAGGAGGGGGCUGGUUUGACUCUUGGGGAGGAGGUGGAGCAAUGCAAUGCCUUCCUCUCGAGGAUUGCUGUUACGACAAAGCACAUGUCAAAAGCAGGACGCACAGACAUGCUCACAGUCAUGGCCAUGUGCUGGAAUCAGCAAAAGUUUAACAACUUGGCUUCAACACUUGCCUGCCGAUAUCAAAAGGCCACAAUAGCUCUGCAAAGACAGUUGCAUAAUUUGGAGGCCAUGAAAACUGAAAUGGCAGUUACAGAUGAUCAACUGGAGGGCUGGAUCACUGAUGUCAAUGAGUGGGCAGAAGCAACAACAUCCCCAAAUGAUGCUGAUGUUGCUGUUGUGGCCAGACGAAUUGAGGAGCUGGUCACCAAGGAGGUCCCAACGUCUUUAUAAAGACAUUGAUGGCUGCAAAGGUCGUGUCCGGAUACGCCAAAAGAUCAGGGAGGAAAAGAAAUGUUUAAUUCUGUGGUGGAUCAAUAUAACACCAUGGUCCCUAAUGCAGAAAACCUGGACUUGGACACCAUACUUUCAGACGACACCCUUUGGCCAUGGCAGCUUCCACAUGGUGAUAUGUACACAAGUCCAUUGACGUGAAAUACGUCUCGAAGUAGCACAAUGUUUUUGUUUUUUUUUAGCAAUGUUUACCCAGAUAAUCAAAGAAAACCUUUAAAUACUAAUCUUAAAAUCAACUGAUUUAUGUAUUCCAGACUCCGUAGGUCUAAGGACAAAGAGAAAGGCAUUUGACACAGUGAUGGCAGUAAGGAGACUUGAGGAGGAGAAGAGGAUUCUCAUUGCUGAGAUGGAAAAACACUGGAAAUCUCUUUGCACCGUGCAGACACUCCAAAGGAGAUGACAUCCCAGCUUUGCAGUGGGACAUCAAGUAUGUAUUUUAAGUUAUACUUGACAUGCAUUAUAUUUACCAGUAUGUUUCUGAAAGUCUGUAAUAUUUUUUCCCCGUAUAUAAGGUGAGAUGUGGGGCCUGAGUAAUGAGGGAAUCCAAGGUCUGCAGAGCUUAAUGAUGAAGAACACACAAGCCAUCAACAAAAUACUGAAGUGCAACAUCCAAUUUCCGUACAUGUGUUUACAUCAUUGUUUAGAUAACUCUCAAAAGAUCUUUUUUUCAGUCCAGUAUCAAUGAUUUCUAGAAAAAUACAUUUUGACAUGAGUUUCUUCAUGGUCGAACUCACAUGGCCUUUAGCACAGAUAAGUCUUCUCAAUAAAAUUCUUCUAAGCCCAGUAUACAGUACCUCUAACCUGCAUCUUUGAUUGGUAUGUCUUGCUGUGUUGAUAGAUAUUUGUUGCCAUUGGUCCAGGAGCUGUAUAACCACAUCAUGGAGGUUGGAGGUCUCAUAAACCCAGCAGUUAAAGGGGAUGUGUGUCGCGCAGAAAAAACUAAUGACAAUCUGGAAGCUGUGCUAAAUUGAACAUUUACCCUUAUUGUUAUAACCAUCAAUUCAAUGAUUCAAUUAUAAAAUGAUUUCGUUUUUAAGCUUAACUAUACUUGACUUAUUUUUCUUAUUUUCUGUCACAGAUUGUCCUUAUUUGUGUUAAUUGUAAUCUGUUUUUUUUCCUCUAUGUUUAUGAACUGGGACUGAAUACUCUGUAACCCAACUAAGUGAUUACCAAUAGUUAUGACAAUCAUGUAAAGUGUAACUGGAUUCUUAUUGCUUACUAUUUUCAGGCAUUUUAUAUAUUUCAUGGUGUUAAUGUGGUCAUUUUUUCCAGAUUUUGUCUCAUUUCUACAUUUUCAUUCAUUGUUUUAUGGAAUGAUAAUAAAACAUCUUUGAUCCUUAAAUAACCUUUGUAAUCUUUCUGUGUUGUCGACACACUAGAGGUCUUUGUUUUAUCUACCAUGUCAAUAUAUGUGUCACAUGCUGAUAUUUGUUUAUAAUAAUGACAGUAACUCUACCAUGGCCUUUGUGACAGUUAGGCCUACAGUUAACAUUAUUAACUUACAUACAUCAUAAAUGGUAAAAUUUGGCAUGUAAAAUCUAUGUAUCACCCAACAUAUGUGAGCAAAGUGAAAUUAAAGCUUAUACGUUCACAGACUCUGUAGCAUCCUCUGGAAAUGACAAUGUGCCAGGAAUGAUCAACGUGGUUCUUGUACUGCAUUAAAACCAAGAGCAUGCACAUUACUGAUGUCCAGCACAUGAGGAGAAGGAUAAGGGAGUGAGGUGGACAUUUUUACAUUUUACAUUUGCUAAUUAGAUUUAUUUUGAAUAUAUUGUGAUUCUUAGUACUGCAUGAAUUUGUAAUAGUAAUAGUGAAGUGUGUACAGUAGGUAGACAACCAAAAUGGAUAAUGCCGCGGCGUUAACUGCAAGUCAGUCGCGUGUGAAAUUAAUUCACGAAACUACCGCCAGAUGUCGCAAAGGGACGGAUUGCGAACUGAAUGUAAUUGUAAAAUGAGAUAAAAGGAGGAAGUAAAACAACAAUAACAUUAUGAUAUAACAUUGUAACAUCUUUAAAAAACAUUAAAAAAUGUACAGUGAGUUAAUUUCAAAAUGUAGGAUAGUUUUAGGCUACAGUCUACUCAUCAAAAAUUAAAAGAAGACCUUUACACAAAGGAU
Long non-coding RNA from Cyprinus carpio carpio, 3528 nucleotides. Lineage: Eukaryota; Metazoa; Chordata; Actinopteri; Cypriniformes; Cyprinidae. The record is from Ensembl.